RNAcentral lists this long non-coding RNA (1053 nucleotides) under Sus scrofa (pig). RNAcentral describes it as "lncRNA (ENSSSCG00015075102.1)". The record is from RNAcentral. Lineage: Eukaryota; Metazoa; Chordata; Mammalia; Artiodactyla; Suidae.
CCAGCUUGCGGCAUUUUUACAAUUAACCUUUUCUUUCUUUUUUUACAGCCACACCUGUGGCACAGGGAAAUUCCUGGGCCAGGGAUCAAACCCAAGCUGAAGCUGUGACCUACACCACAGGCACAGCAAUGCCAGAUCCUUUAACCCACUGAGCCUGGACAGGAACCAAACUCGAAUCUCCCCAGUGGUCCAAGCCUCUGCAGUUGGAUUGUUUGUUUUUGUCUUGUUUUGUCUUUUUAGGGCUGCACCCAUGGCAUAUGGAAGUUCCCAGGCUAGGCCUCAAAUGGAGCGGUAGGUGUCGGCCUGCACCACAGUCAUAGCAACGUCUAAUUCCUAACCCACUGAGCAAGGCCAGGGAUCGAAGCCGUGUCAUCAUGCAUAUUAGUCAGGUUUCUUACUGCUGAGCCGUGACAGGAACUCCCUGCAGUUGGAUUCUUUUUUUUUUGUUUUUGUCUUUUUGCCAUUUCUUGGGCCACUCCCGCGGCAUAUGGAGCAGCCCUAGAAAAGGCAAAAAGACCAAAAAAAAAAAAAAAAAAAAAAAAAGUAUAGUUGAUUUUCAAUGUUGUGCCAAUUUCUAUUGUCCAGCCAAAUGGCCUAGUCAUACACACAUACACAUCCCGUUUCUUCUAUCAUCUUCCAUCGCGGUCUAUCCCAAGGGACUGGAUAUGGUUCCCUGUGCUGCACACUAGGACCUGACUGCUUAUCCAUUUGAAACCUAAUAGUUUGCGUCUACUAACCCCAAACUCCCUGUCCAUCCGCCUCCCUCCACUGCCCCCCACGGCAACCACAAGUCUGUUCUCCAUGUCUGUGAGUCUGCUUCUGUUUUACAGAUAGGUUCGCUUGUGCCAUAUCUUAGAUUCCACAUAUAAGUGGUAUCAUUUGGUAUCUGUCUCUUUCUGACUCACUCCACUUAGUAUGAGAAUCUCUAGCUGCAUCCACGUUGCUGCAAAUGGCACUCUUUCUUUCUUUUCAUGGCUGAGUAGUAUUCUAUUGUGUAUAUGUAUCACAUCUUCAUCUACUCAUCUGUCGGACAUUUAGGUUGUUUCCAUGUCU